Molecule: ribosomal RNA, 638 nt
Filed under: uncultured bacterium
Lineage: Bacteria
Description: bacterial SSU rRNA
Rfam family: Bacterial small subunit ribosomal RNA
Source: RNAcentral
UCAUUUAUUUGAAAGGGGCAAUUGCUCCACUACAAGAUGAGCCUGCGGCGUAUUAGCUUGUUGGUGGGGUAAUGGCCUACCAAGGCAACGAUGCGUAGCCGGACUGAGAGGUUGAACGGCCACACUGGGACUGAGACACGGCCCAGACUCCUACGGGAGACAGCAGUUAGGAAUAUUCGGCAAUGGGCGAAAGCCUGACCGAGCAAUGCCGCGUGUGAGAUGAAGGUCCUUUGGAUUGUAAAUCACUUUUAUUUGGGAAGAACAGUAAGUAUAGGAAAUGAUGCUUACUUGACGGUACCUUUUGAAUAAGCCCCGGCUAACUACGUGCCAGCAGCCGCGGUAAUACGUAGGGGGCGAGCGUUAUCCGGAUUUAUUGGGCGUAAAGCGUGUGUAGGCGGUUUGUUAAGUCUGAGAUGAAAGGCUAUGGCUCAACCAUAGUUUGUUUCAGAAACUGGCAGACUAGAGUGCAGUAGAGGCAAAUGGAAUUCAUAGUGUAGCGGUGGAAUGCGUAGAUAUUAUGAGGAACAUCAGUGGCGAAGGCGAUUUGCUGGGCUGUUACUGACGCUGAGACACGAAAGCGUGGGGAGCAAAUAGGAUUAGAUACCCUAGUAGUCCACGCUGUAAACGAUGAGCACUAA